GCCAGCAGCCGUAUCACCCUGCAACUCACAACUGGGCAACCCACUGAAGCUCAGCAGGUGUGAGCCUGGUCAGUACCUGGAUGGGAGACCUCCUGGGAAAAACUAAGGUUGCUGCUGGAA
This is a ribosomal RNA of Lepisosteus oculatus (spotted gar), 120 nucleotides long. NCBI's taxonomy places the organism in Eukaryota, Metazoa, Chordata, Actinopteri, Semionotiformes, Lepisosteidae. The record is from Rfam.